CGAGGGUGCAAGCGUUGCUCGGAAUUAUUGGGCGUAAAGGGCAGGUAGGUGGUCUCGUUUGUCUGGGGUGAAAGCCGUUGGGCUUAACCCAAGAAGUGCCUCGGAAACGGCGAGACUAGAGUACUGGAGAGGGUCGUGGAAUACCCGGUGUAGCGGUGAAAUGCGUAGAGAUCGGGUGGAACACCAGAGGCGAAGGCGGCGACCUGGACAGUAACUGACACUCAACUGCGAAAGCGUGGGGAGCAAACAGGAUUAGAUACCCUGGUAGUCCACGCUGUAAACGAUGGGUAUUAGACUUGGUGGGUCUUGACCCCCACUGAGUCGGAGCUAACGCGCUAAAUACCCCGCCUGGGAAGUACGGUCGCAAGACUA
RNAcentral lists this ribosomal RNA (372 nucleotides) under uncultured organism. RNAcentral's name for it is "bacterial SSU rRNA". It matches the Rfam family "Bacterial small subunit ribosomal RNA", at positions 527 to 896 of the family's 1533-position model. The record is from RNAcentral.